GAGGGUGUAGUUCAGUGGUAGAGUAUGUGCCUAGAAUGCAUGAGGUCCUGGGUGCAACCCCUGGCACCGCCA
This 72-nucleotide transfer RNA is filed under the name Camelus dromedarius (Arabian camel). It matches the Rfam family "tRNA". Rfam says of the family: Transfer RNA (tRNA) molecules are approximately 80 nucleotides in length. Their secondary structure includes four short double-helical elements and three loops (D, anti-codon, and T loops). Further hydrogen bonds mediate the characteristic L-shaped molecular structure. tRNAs have two regions of fundamental functional importance: the anti-codon, which is responsible for specific mRNA codon recognition, and the 3' end, to which the tRNAs corresponding amino acid is attached (by aminoacyl-tRNA synthetases). tRNAs cope with the degeneracy of the genetic code in two manners: having more than one tRNA (with a specific anti-codon) for a particular amino acid; and 'wobble' base-pairing, i.e. permitting non-standard base-pairing at the 3rd anti-codon position. The record is from Rfam by way of RNAcentral. RNAcentral also lists the same sequence under 1 other name. Lineage: Eukaryota; Metazoa; Chordata; Mammalia; Artiodactyla; Camelidae.